RNAcentral lists this ribosomal RNA (1039 nucleotides) under Virgibacillus sp. RNAcentral describes it as "bacterial SSU rRNA". It matches the Rfam family "Bacterial small subunit ribosomal RNA", at positions 44 to 1052 of the family's 1533-position model. The record is from RNAcentral. Lineage: Bacteria; Bacillati; Bacillota; Bacilli; Caryophanales; Bacillaceae.
GUGCCGACUAGACUGCAAGUCGAGCGCGGGAAGCAAGCAGAUCUCCUUCGGGAGUGACGCUUGUGGAACGAGCGGCGGACGGGUGAGUAACACGUGGGCAACCUACCUGUAAGACUGGGAUAACUCCGGGAAACCGGGGCUAAUACCGGAUGAAACAAAGCGUCGCAUGACGCAAUGUUAAAAGGCGGCAUAUGCUGUCACUUACAGAUGGGCCCGCGGCGCAUUAGCUAGUUGGUGAGGUAAAGGCUCACCAAGGCAACGAUGCGUAGCCGACCUGAGAGGGUGAUCGGCCACACUGGGACUGAGACACGGCCCAGACUCCUACGGGAGGCAGCAGUAGGGAAUCUUCCGCAAUGGACGAAAGUCUGACGGAGCAACGCCGCGUGAGUGAUGAAGGUUUUCGGAUCGUAAAACUCUGUUGUUAGGGAAGAACAAGUGCCAUUCGAAUAGGUUGGCACCUUGACGGUACCUAACCAGAAAGCCCCGGCUAACUACGUGCCAGCAGCCGCGGUAAUACGUAGGGGGCAAGCGUUGUCCGGAAUUAUUGGGCGUAAAGCGCGCGCAGGCGGUCCUUUAAGUCUGAUGUGAAAGCCCACGGCUUAACCGUGGAGGGCCAUUGGAAACUGGAGGACUUGAGUACAGAAGAGGAGAGUGGAAUUCCACGUGUAGCGGUGAAAUGCGUAGAGAUGUGGAGGAACACCAGUGGCGAAGGCGACUCUCUGGUCUGUAACUGACGCUGAGGUGCGAAAGCGUGGGUAGCGAACAGGAUUAGAUACCCUGGUAGUCCACGCCGUAAACGAUGAGUGCUAGGUGUUAGGGGGUUUCCGCCCCUUAGUGCUGAAGUUAACGCAUUAAGCACUCCGCCUGGGGAGUACGGCCGCAAGGCUGAAACUCAAAAGAAUUGACGGGGACCCGCACAAGCGGUGGAGCAUGUGGUUAAUUCGAAGCAACGCGAAGAACCUUACCAGGUCUUGACAUCCUCUGACACCCUAGAGAUAGGGCAUUCCCUUCGGGACAGAUGACAGGGGUGCAUGGUUGU